GGUGGAAGGUUUUGCCAAUGAUAAAAGGGAGUGAUACACCAAUAGCUGCUGCAGAUAUAAUUAGCAAGAACCCAAAGCCAUAACCAAAAGUCAUUCCAACCACCCACAUGGAAGGUGUAGACGGCAAGAGUAAGGUUGGGAAUAUUGCUACGGAGGCAAACACCGAAACAGUUAAUAUUGGAGUACUGAAAGUCUCUGUCUCCCAAUUUAUUAUCGGAAUAACCCCCUGUCAAGAACAAAUUAAAUCAUCCAUUAGAAUCACAUCAUUUUAAUCUAUGUUUCAUGUUAGAGACAAUAUAAAAAGUGCAAAACACAAUUAUUCUACACUAUCCAGCACAAAGGGCGGAAUUCAGCUAUUUCAUUAUCAAAAUCAAAACUUUACAAGGGAACACCAAUCCUCAAAUCCAAUAGCAG
RNAcentral lists this long non-coding RNA (414 nucleotides) under Vigna radiata. RNAcentral's name for it is "long non-coding RNA (VRAD_LNC002060)". The record is from RNAcentral. Lineage: Eukaryota; Viridiplantae; Streptophyta; Magnoliopsida; Fabales; Fabaceae.